CAUUUACUACAGAUAGGCAUCUUAAUAUAACUGACUUCUCCUUGAUCAGGUGCCAAAGGGGUUGCAGUGCCAAGACUGGGGCAGAGAGGAGACACGGCCAGGGACAGGACUGCGUGACCCAAGAUUCAUAUCAUACUGGGAACAAGUUGCCAAGAGAAGCUGUGGACUCUCCAUCCAAGACUUCGCUGGACAAGGUCCUGAGCAAUCCAGCACUCCCUUUGAAACUGGCCCUGCUUUGAGAAGGGGGCUGGACCAGAGGACCCUCCCCACCUCGACACACCAAAGGUCCCUUCCAACUUCAUUCUUUCUAUGAUUCUAUGUAUUUUUUAAUUUGACACUACCAGUUUGAGAGUCAUCAGUCUGAACGAGUAUCGUUUUCACAAAAUAGCUUUUCAGAUGAUUUUCUUGACAUUUUGCAAGCAUUUCACUUCUCUCCAGCUCUCUUUUGCCUUUAACAGCUUUCAUUUCAGUCUGAAUUGUCUUGACUUCGAGUAGUCUGUAUUUUUGCCAUAAUGGUUUCUACCACUGAUUAACUUUUUUGUUAAUAUUUUCAAACAUGUGUGUACUGUAGACAGCAGACUCUGCAUGCUCUGACAUGAGCAGCUAUCCUAGCUUGCCUUUUCUCCAGCCUAGCAUUUCUAUCCAAAAUAAUAUUAUCCUAGUAGGAU
Molecule: long non-coding RNA, 668 nt
Filed under: Struthio camelus australis
Lineage: Eukaryota; Metazoa; Chordata; Aves; Struthioniformes; Struthionidae
Description: lncRNA (ENSSCUG00000015645.1)
Source: RNAcentral